AACGAACGCUGGCGGCAGGCCUAACACAUGCAAGUCGAGCGAGACCUUCGGGUCUAGCGGCGGACGGGUGAGUAACGCGUGGGAACGUGCCCUUUGGUACGGAAUAGCCCCGGGAAACUGGGAGUAAUACCGUAUAAGCUCUUCGGAGGAAAGAUUUAUCGCCAAAAGGAUCGGCCCGCGUUGGAUUAGGUAGUUGGUGGGGUAAUGGCCUACCAAGCCGACGAUCCAUAGCUGGUUUGAGAGGAUGAUCAGCCACACUGGGACUGAGACACGGCCCAGACUCCUACGGGAGGCAGCAGUGGGGAAUCUUAGACAAUGGCGCAAGCCUGAUCUAGCCAUGCCGCGUGAGCGAUGAAGGCCUAGGGUUGUAAAGCNCUUUCAGUGGGAAGAUAAUGACUGUACCACCAGAAGAAGCCCCGGCUAAACUCCGUG
Molecule: ribosomal RNA, 432 nt
Filed under: uncultured bacterium
Lineage: Bacteria
Description: bacterial SSU rRNA
Rfam family: Bacterial small subunit ribosomal RNA
Source: RNAcentral